RNAcentral lists this long non-coding RNA (19352 nucleotides) under Malus domestica (apple). RNAcentral's name for it is "long non-coding RNA (MDOM_LNC005393)". The record is from RNAcentral. Lineage: Eukaryota; Viridiplantae; Streptophyta; Magnoliopsida; Rosales; Rosaceae.
AGGUUUCACACUGUUAUAAUUGAAGAUGCUGAUAUAGACGGGAGUGCUAAAUUAAAUAUUUAAGGUAGCUUCUUCCUAGACUUAUGCUAUUCAAGGAAGCUUCUUCCGAGACUUAUACUAUUCAACCAUUGAAAUAAAGUAAACCACAGACUGGAACAACUUCUCCUUUCUUUUCGGUGCAUGCAUUCUCUCAGUCAACAAAGUAAAUCAAUUAUAAUACGCAAUUCUGACAAUCAUUUACUCGUUUCGGUGGAUAUACCUUUCUACUUUGUGGUCAGAAUUAAAUUGUCGAUCUGUGACCGACUGUUUCUUAGUUCCUUUCGUCUCGGCUUACAUUGAUUGUAAUCGGAAAAUACAUGGUGGUUACUACGAUGAGCAAGAAAAGUUACAAUAAUUGAUAUUGCUGCACACCUUACUCUUUACUAUAGUUGAUACUAGCAAAGAUGCCCAAGCUCCAUUGCGGGUUUUGAAUUCGUAACCAUAGUUUAACACACCAAUUUUUAAAUUAUUCAGAAACCAAUCAAAGCAACUGAAUCGACAUGGUAAAUUAAGUCUUUCAGUUGGAUCUACAUUCUAUUGAAUUUACAUUAAAAGCCUAUCUUAAAAAAAAAUGUCGGAUUUUUUAAAGUCCCAACUAUAUACAAUGUACAUGAGUUUUUCACAUGAAUUGGAGAAUGAUGGUUGUUUAAUUGUACCUAAAGUGCAGCAGUAGCUGUCAGUGUGUGGCUAAAAUGCACCUGCACAGUGAAUCAAAAUUGACUCAUGAUUCCUUGUACUUGUAGCAUAAGUAGAAGGCAGCAGUGCUACACAGAAGUUUGUACUACACAAAUAGUCAAUGCUAUUUCCAAACCACCAUGAGAUUACUUAUAAUAAACUUACCUAGAAGUUGAAAUUCAACCGAACAUAAACAUCAGGCACAUCAGAAAGAUGGCAGCAGUUUAAGUCUUGAAGGUUCUCUUCAUUUAUGUCCUAGUUCACGGGAAAAACAAAAAAUGUGAUUGCAAAGAUGUGAUUCCCAACAACAAAGCCUACCAAAAUCUAAUCCUUUCACCAGUACCUACCUACCACCAAUUGAAUAUCCCACCAACACUCCAAAUUUUGACAGCCCUUAAGAAAAAAACUGUUCUAUGAAGCACAAAACUCUUCCAACACAUUGCUUGCAAGAUUUACUAUGUUUAAACCUCUGAUUUAUUGGUAUCAUGCGAUUUCUUUGAAAAUUUACAUAAACCUCAAAAAGUAGUAAAAGUGCUGCAGCAGCAUGAGGAGUUUUAUAACAAAGAAGUCAUUCAUUUCUACCGAUAAACUGAAACAAUGAUUGAUACAAAGGUCUUCGCAUCAGAUAAAAAUGACUGACUACGAAGAAUUCAAGUGCAAAAUGACUGACCAAGAAGACUUCUAUUUUUCAGAAAGGUAAAAAACAAUUAAUUGUUAUGGUACAAAUUCUAAAGUUAAUAAGCCCUUGAAGCAGGAAGCCAUAAAAAGAGCAGAAUUUUACAACAUACGUCUCAGAAACAAAUAGACUCAUUUGAAAUGUUCUUAAAGAAAUAAUACAGUGCCAAAUUGGAAUCAUAUCGGAGAAUAAAUAAAGAGGUCUAAGAUAUUUUAUCCAUAAACCUAAAAACUACAGAGAACAAAAAUAACAAUCACUCAAAUGGAAAGUACGGGGAAGCACUGCAUCAAAGGUCAGGUGGCAUACCAGAAUUUUGAUUCAAAUGUCAUGGCUGAGAACCUUUGCAUCAAAAGCAGCUGCAAGAGCAAAUGAUGAUGCUGCGAUAGGAGUCCAAACUAAACAGCAAAAAAUUAGAGAGAAUAAGAGUAAGAAUUCGAACAGAGUUCCUCUCAUAGAACUAAAGAAGUGAUGUUGAAACAACCAUUUUUUCCCAUUUUGUUUGACCAAGAAUCUAUUUGUAUAAAAUCCAAAUCCAAAUGCAGAAGAGAUAUGAGAAUAUAACAGAGGACCCUAACAGUUAAGAUUAGAGAGAAUAAGAGUCUGCAUUCGAACACAGUUAAGCGAUUUGUUCCAACACCUAACAAAAUUAAGAAUGGAUAAACAAAUACCUCAAUGAUGGUUUUUUGGCGCCUGCUCUGUGAAUGCAUGGUUUGAUGUGUAUGCUUGUGUUUGAUCUGCAUACAUGUCAAGAAAAAAUUAAGAAGUGCAUCACAGAAAUACAUAAGCAACCAAGAAUUGGAAAAACAAACUACCAACAGAGGAGCUAAACAGUUGCUAAAACAGCCUAAUCUCCCCAACACUCACAUCACAGAAAUACAGAAGCAACAAAGUAUGGAGAAACAAUCUAGCAACAGAGGGAUAUUCAAACGAUGUGAAGCGGAAAAGCAACCUCAAUUUGAUUUGUUGAGAAGGAAACAGCAGCAAAUCAUGAAGAAACACAGAAAUGAGCACAGUGCAACCCCCUAGCUUAUGAAGACACAAACCUGACUCUAACUGUGUACGGAAACAGAGCACUCAACAGCCUAAUCUCCCUAACACCCAACUAAACAGCCUAUAAACAUCCAUUACAAUUUUAAUGAAACAACAAAAUAUUCAUCACAGUUUUAACAAAGCAAAUGGCAAACCAAACAAUAAACAAUGAUUUUAAAACAGUGCAUUCCCUGUUGAAUCAGAGGUGAAAACUGAAAACCCACUCUCUCCCAUACCUCCCUCAGCCAUUCUCUCCUUAACAACCCUGUGGAGUAACCCGUUAACCCCAAAAAAUGCACACAGCCAUGCUUUCUGCCCUCUCUCUCUCUCUCUCUCUCCCUGUCCAUCCUUCUCUCAAAAAUUGGACAAAAUCCCUUUAUCUCUCUCCCACUCAGUCGAAACACGUAGCUCCCAUCUCUCUCUCCAAUCUGUCAUUCCCUCUGUCCCACUCCUCUCCUCCCCCAACGACCCUCUGACCGAUGCAUCUCCCACAGCCACACACCCACCCGCCCCCGAGUCAAAAAUCCCGGCUAUCCUCUCCCUCCACACUAAAGAUAUUUUCAAACAAAUCACAAUCCAUCCCACAAAGUGCAUCCAACUCCAAGGCAAGACUAAGCAAACACACAAAAUGUAUAAAAACCAAAGAAAAGUAGAAGUGUAACAAUAUUGUUAUGCAUCUGUAUUUAUUCUCACAAAUAACGAAUAUAAGAAUUUGAUGAUCUUGUUACUCAAACUCCAAGGAAAAAUGAAAUAAAAUUCAAUGGUUAAAAUUAAUCAUUCUGUAAAUGUAUUCCCCACAUCUAUAUCAUUCAAGUACAACGGUUUCAACAACAAAAAAUUCCUGAUUGACUUCAGUUCAAAACAUUCAAGUUCAACGUAAUUGAAACCUGUGCAAGAGAUUCGAUGAAAACCCAGUUCCAAUAUUAGCCACAACGAACUGAAGCCGUAUCGGCUCAGCGAGAACCUUCUCGAUAACCUCCUUCAACGCAACCUAUCAAUUCCAACACAAAAAUUGAGAAAAAGUGCGAGAAUAUUUGAGCUUGGGAUUUUCCCGGAAACCAAACAGGGGUCUAGACUCUAAACCAAACCUUGGGCGAGGGGUGGGGUGGAGAGAGAGGGCAGAGCUUUGAGGCGAGCCACCACCUCUACCCUCCUAUCCACCAUAUCUAAACAUCCACAGAGACAAAUUGUCAAACACCUAAUGGGUGCGCAUAUACAAACACACACACAGACCUGUAUAUACAAAAAUUACCACAAACAAACACACAUACACCUAUAAAUACAAAAGGGGGUGUCUAUAUAAUCACCUUGGGGAACAUCUUCGGUGUGAUGGAGGGACUUGUGGAUGUCCAUGGCGUAGUCGACCGUGUUGGUCUUGUUAAGGAGCAUAAAAUGGACUUGAGGAUCUACUCAUCUGGGUACAUCUGCCGCUCCUGUCCGAACUCGAGGAGGGAAAAAAAAUGAAGAAAUUUGGGUUUAGGGAUCUGGGUUUUGGGUUUAUCGUUGAAUACUGGAACGGUAUAAAGAAAUUUGGGUUUGUGGAGAGUAGCAGAAACUGAGAAUGCCGAGAGAGAAUCAAAAAGCAAAGAAAAAGCGGAGAAGAAGUCGAGGUGCAGCGAUGACAGACGCCUGGGCUAGCUUCCACCGUGCGAAGCGGUGGCUCAUACUUUUCUCUGACCAUCUCCCCUCUCCCACUCAUGAAAUCGAGGAUCUGCGGCAAUGGCCUCUCUCUCUCUCUCUCUCUCUCUCUCACAGAGGAGGCAUGGCCUCCCAUCCCCGAAACCCUCACUGAAUGACAACAAACCUAAACCCACCCCAAUCCCUCUCUUACUCAGUCCAAACCCGUAGCUCCCAUCUCUCCAAUCCGUCAGUCCCUCUGUCCCCCUCCUCUCCUCCCCCCAACAACCCUCUGACCGAUGCAUCAGCCACAGAACACCCACCCGCACGUCCCUCCCGAAAAUCCUCUCCCCUAAAUCCCGGCGAACGUCUCCCUUUCAACCCUUCUGUCGCCCUUCCCUCUCUCUCCCCAAGCCAUAAGCCCAGAUCCAGCCGAAAGACCGAAGACCCGUUGUUAAGCCCAGUGGCAAUCUUGUAAAUGAAGCGAAAUUUAGGAUAGAAUCAGCCCGGUGGCAAACUCGUAAAUAAAGUGAAAUUGAUGCAAAAUUGCACAGUAGCAAUCUUAAUGUUCGAUUCAAACACUACGAUGCAAUGUCCGUAUUGUGAUUUGCUUUUUGUGGAUUUAAACUAGGGGAGUUUAACGAAAAGCACCUGGUACUGUUCACUUUAACGAAAAACCACAUUUUUACACUAAAAAGUCAAUCCUGGUACUAUUUACUUUACCCUUUAUUUUGUCCUUAUCAUUAAAACUCAAAGUUUUCAAGCCAUUUUCAUUAGUUUUCCUUUUAAACUAUCCAUUGCAGUGCAUGUUUGACUAGUCACAUUUAAUGUUGUAUUUUUUUUAUAUACCUUUAAAUAUUGGAUUAUUUAAUUUGAUUAUCAUAAAUCAGAAACUAUAACGCAGAGUCUUAAUUUACUUAUUUUGGGUAACAUAAACUGCAAUGCAAUAUGUGAAUCCCUAAUGACCAAUUCCAAAAUAUAUAAAAUAUGAAAAAGGGGUACCGAGUGUUAGAUUUUAUAAUUUUUAUUUAUUUUAAAUAAUUUUGUAGAAACCGUAUAUUCAAUAUCUAGAUUUAAGAGAUUACAACCUAUAUUUAUACACAAAUUAUAAGAUAUCUUCUUAGUGGUUACAAUGGGACGGAAAACCAAUUAUAUCCUAAUAAAGGCUAAUAACAACAUAAUAGCUAAACAAUAAUGUAUUGUCCUUGAAGAACCGUAACUAUGGUAACUCCCGUAACUCCCUAACAAAUUUAAAUACAGAUUUUGUAGUUUUUGUUUAUCCUUCCCUCCCAGUUGCAAACGUAUGCAUAGAAGGUCUAAACGCGGCUACGUUUGUCAUCAAAUAGGCCAAUAUAUACAUCACUGAAAUGGUGUGGAUUGAUACAUUCUUCUCCUGACUAUCCUUGUCCAGAUACUUUCCUGUGUAAACGAUUAGUUGAAAGAACAUCUGGUAUGGAUAUUGAACUUGGCAUAGCUUGUACCAAACAUUGCAUCAGUUGUUUUGCAACUCUUGAAGAUUUCCUUGCUUGCUUCAUGAAACAGUUUCGACAAACUAUGGAGUUAACAUCCCAUCUACAAAGUGCUUGUCCAGGGACUAUGUCACGUCCAUCUCCAAUCGUGUCAUUGUAAAAACCUCCUGUGAUGGAAGUGUUAGAAGACAAUGACUCAAUAGCCGCUCGAGAUUGCUUUCAAAUUGACUACUUCUGCCAUCAGCUGAACAAAAAAUUGAAAGGGGAUCUGUAGCAGAAAGGGCAGCCGGCAUCAACAGCACAAUAAUUGCGAAAAGCAUUACAAGAAGUUUAUCUUUGUCCAUUUGCUAGAAAAGGGUUCACGGUGAACACAGAUUUUGGCCAAAAGCAAGAAACACUUUGAAGAUUUAUUUUGACGACGUUUCAGUUUUGACAGUGAAGUUCCAGCUACAAGUUUACAUGUGACCAUCACAGAAACUUCCUUGCUGAUGGAAGACGCAAGCCGGAUGUGAUUAAAGUCAUGAUCUGCAUGUUGAUAGAGACCAGGAAUAACAUAUGGUGUUCAAAUGAUCGGUUAAUUGUUGAUUGAUCAAAGACUUUGCAGCUUGGUCACAUAUAGUGCAUGCUUAAACUACUUGAUUAAAAUGUGAUUGUUUAGAGUUGACUGGCCAAACAAGCAGUGUCUGUUGGUUAGUACAAGUCUAACUAUUUGUUUGACCAUUCUACUCGAAGGGAGCUGCCAUGAAAUUACUAGUAAGGUCUUUGGAGUCUUUAUAGCAGCAUGAGGAUGUGUGGGCAUACAAGAAAUAAUAUGAUCAAGAAUAAUAAGGAUAUCCAAUGUAAAGUAGGAAUGACCCCAAUUGAAAAUAAGAUAAGAAAAAAUUGAUUAAGAUGGUUUGAACAUUUGAAAUGAAGACCUAAAGAUGCUCCAGUUAGAAAACGCAACUACGUGACAAAGACUCAUAACACAAGGGCACAAGGGGUAGAUGAAGACUUAAAAAAAAUUAGGAGACUUUAAGAAAAGACAGAGACUAUUUGGAGCUAAUAAAAUACUUGGCCCAAAAUCGAGUACAGUGACGUUCUAGGAUUCAUACAAUCAACCCCACUUAAUGGGAUGAUGUAUUUUUGUUGUUGUUGAUGUGUUUAUGCAGGCUCUAUUUUGUUCACUUAUUAUAUAAACCGGUCAAAGUAUCGAUUUGCUUAUAUCGCACAAAUUUCCUUGCUGACCGAAAAUCCAUAGAUAUGCAAUCCUGCUCAACAAAGUCUUGAUCAAGAAUACUGUAUUGAUCAAAGACUUGUUUAAUUAAAUUAGUUAAACUCACAUCAGUAAAAAUUAAAAUUCAGUCACACCACAAGUUGAAAGAUUUGUUGACCCAAAACUAAUAGAUAAUGACAAGGACUUCACAACCAUCAAAUAAUAGUAAACUGUCAGUGUUUGAUUCGUGUUUGUAUUAUUUGAAAACAAAACUGCAAAUUGAUUCAGUGAGACGAUGAUUCACACCGAGCAGCUGAAAAACGAAGAACAAAGGAGGAAGAGAAUUCGGAGUCGUUGCUUCAGCAAGAAGGAUUCUAUUUCUUCUUGUUGAUGAGAAUGAGUUCACGUUAAUGGGAGGAAAUAUCUUGCAUGAACUUAUAAAAGAGACCUACUCUUCAUAUGGUCAAUUGGUUUUGUGGUGAAACCUCAACUUUUUUCAUGGUAUCAAAGUAGGUUGAAUAGAAUUUUACGGGAUAAUUUCCGUGUAUUCCAUAAUUCUCAAUUAAAGGAUAUGUACAACCCUAGUUACAAGAAAGGCAACAAAUAAAGGACAUAAUACCUUUCCUAAAACAAGACUCUAGUAAUUACAAAAUAUUUACAUUCUCUUUUCUACUAAAUAUUAACUUAUUCCAAUACUCCCCCUCAAGUUGGAGCAUAAAUAUUACUCAUGCCCAACUUGACAAGCGACUCACCAAACCUUCUAUUGCACAUGGCAUGGGUAAGUACAUCUGCAAGUUGUUCCUCUGAGUUCACAAAUGGUAUUGACACAAUCUUCUUCUCCAGCUUUUCUUUGAUAAAAUGUCUAUCAACUUCAACAUGCUUAGUCCUGUCAUGCUGUACUGGAUUCUCGGCUAUCUCUCUAGCGGACUUAUUAUCACAAUACAACUUCAUUGCCUCCUUCUGUGUAAAACCAAGGCUCUCAAGUAACUUUUGCAGCCAAAGCAUCUCGCAUACACCAUGUGCCAUUCCCCUAUAUUCGGCUUCGGCAGAAGACCGUGACACCACAUUUUGUUUCUUGCUCCUCCACGUAACCAAAUUGCCUCCAACGAAUGUAAAAUACCCCGAUAGACCUUCUAUCAGUCACAUCACCGGCCCAAUCAGCAUCCGUAAAUCCCUCGAUCCUCAUAUGCCCAUGACUCUCAUACAAAACUCCUUUACCCGGAGCAGACUUUAAGUAUGCCAAGAUUCUCAUCACUGCCUCCAUAUGAUCUACACUUGGUGAGUGCAUAAACUGACUAACCACACUUACCGCGUAAGCAAUAUCCGGACGAGUAUGAGACAAAUAAAUCAGCCUCCCCACCAGUCUUUGAUAUCUCCCUUUGUCAACCGGUUCCUGAUCUGGAUAAAUCCCCAAAUAAUGUUUCUCUACGAUAGGAGUGUCCACAGGUUUACACCCCAGCAUGCCUGUUUCCUUUAAUAAAUCCAGAACAUAUUUACGUUGAGACAAAAAAAUACCUCUAGAUGACCGAGCGACUUCCACUCCAAGAAAGUAUUUUAAAUCUCCCAAAUUCUUCAUCUCAAACUCGGCAGCAAGGUUUUGUUCAAGCUUCAUCAUCUCUUCUGAAUCAUCACCGGUUAUUAUCAUGUCAUCUACAUAAAUUAUUAAGGCAGUCACUUUACCACUUCCCCGUUUCACAAAUAAUGUAUGAUCCGAAUGACUUUGAUAAUACCCAAACCUCCUCAUAACCUGAGUAAAUCUCCCAAACCAUGCACGAGGUGAUUGCUUAAGUCCAUAGAGUGACUUUCGCAAUCUACAUACUCCGGUUUUUCCUCCGGCAUUGUACCCCGGAGGAAAAUCCAUAUACACCUCUUCUUCUAGAUGCCCAUGAAGAAAAGCAUUCUUUACAUCAAACUGUUUCAGUGGCCAAUUCAAGUUUGCAGCUAAAGAAAUCAGAACACGUACCGUAUUCAUCUUCGCUACUGGAGAAAAAGUUUCCUGAUAGUCAAUACCAUAAGUUUGAGUAUACCCCUUCGCUACUAACCUUGCUUUAUAUCUGUCUACCGAUCCGUCUGCCUUAUAUUUAAUUGUAAAAACCCAUCUACACCCAACUGGUUUCUUGCCUUUAGGUAGCUCCGUCACCUCCCAUGUAUCAUUCUUGUGUAGUGCCAUCAUUUCUUCAUCCAUUGCAGCAACCCAUUUAGGAUCCUUCAAGGCCUCCUCAACUCGGGUUGGUGCUUGGAUUGCUUCCACAUUAUUUACCCAGGCUUGACGUUCAGGUGCAAGGUUUUUGCACGACACAUAAUUUGAUAUUGGAUACUUUACUUUUCCUUCAGGAGAAAACCUGUCAGGAGGAACACCACGAUUUUGCCUUGGCGGCAACUUAUACAUACUUACAUCAUUAUUUGGAUUAGUUACAUGAGCAUCUGUAGUACUUACCUCAGGGAUAUUCAGAGUAGACACAUUGGGUGGCACUAUCGAGCGAGAGAGAAUGUGAUGUGGGUUCUGCAGAUGGCACUUCUUCCCUUAAAGUACUUGGUUCGGCAGUAGGCUGCUGGAUUAUUAUAGCUUCCUCAGUAGGACCUUGCCUAAAACCUGCACUUGUCUCGGCAGGCAGCAACUGAAGGCCCAUAUCAUUCUCGGCAAUUUCUUGUCGAAAAUUUGGUGUCCCAUUUUCAUCCUUGUCGUCAACACAUGCUCCCCCUGAACUACAUAUCACAUCCUCGGGUACCUCUAACCACCCAAGAUCAACUUGAUCACCACUAGUGUUCUCCCCCUGGUGAUCUGAAGGUGAUGGGAUCGAAGAAUAGAAAUACUCUGAUUCAGAAAAAGUAACAUCCAUAGUCACAUACAUAUGUCGAGUUUCAGGAUGAUAACACUUAUACCCUUUCUGUUAAGAGGCAAACCCAACAAAAACGCACCAAAGGGCACAUGGAUCCAAUUUGCUACGAUGAAUCAUGUGAAUAUGAACAUAUGCUACACAUCCAAACACACGAGGAGUAAGGGUAUUAGUGGAUACUACAGGAACAUGUUCCGUUAAUACUUGAAGAGGGGUACGGAAUUCUACAACCCGAGAUGGCAUACGGUUAAUCACAUACACAGCAUAGGUAACGGCUUCAGGCCAAAAACGUUUAGGCACAGACGCACCAAUAAGCAGGGCACGAGCAGUUUCCAAGAUAUGACGAUUCUUUCUCUCAUCAACCCCAUUUUGUUGUGGAGUAUGCGGACAUGUAGUUUGAUGAAUAAUUCCACGAUCUUGUAGAAACCGGGAUAACUCAGAAGCUAUGUACUCUUCACCGUUGUCAGAACACAAAACUUUAAUAUCAAUGGAAUACUGAGUUUUAACCAUCUGUUGAAACAGACGAAACACAUCACAAACCUCACUUUUAUUUUUCAACAUAUACAACCACAUCAUACGAGUGCAAUCAUCCAUGAAAGUAACAAACCAUCUAAUUCCCGAAGUAGUACUAACAGGGGAAGGCCCCCACACAUCAGAGUGUACUAGUGCAAAUGGAGAAGAUCUUCUAUUCAUACUUGGAGGGAAUGAAGCACGAUGACUUUUGGCUAAAAUACAUACUUCACAUUUCAAUUCUGAGUUUUCAAUACCACUGAACAAAUCAGGUACUAUAUGUUUCAAAUAACCAAACGAUGCAUGCCCCAAACGACGAUGCAAUAACAAUACCUUCUGUAGAUUCCUAUUACGUGACGAAUGAACCAAAUGAGCUCUUCCAGGAACCACGUCAUCCACAUAAUAUAGUCCCUCUCUCUUAGUGCCACGCCCAAUGAUCUCCUUUGUUUGAAUAUCCUGAAGCAAGCAAAAUGAAGGAUACAUUACUACAACACAAUCCAAUUGUUCAGUGACUUGAGGUACAUACAAUAAGUGAUGGGACAAUGACGGAACCAAUAAACAAUUAUGUAACGGAAGAGAGGGUGUAAGAGACACUGUUCCCGCUCCAACAAUGGCAGCAGUAGUACCAUUGGCAGUUGCCACACACUUUUUAUGAGAAUCUUUCAUGGACUGAAACAAAGUUCUAUCAUACGUCAUAUGAUCCGUUGCACCGGAAUCUAAAAUCCAACCGGUAUUGGUCAUUGUAAUAACAACUGCACAACAGUCUCUACACACUGCACAAAACAACAAGUACGCACAAUACUUAUACGCAACAAACUACACACUUGCAGCUGUAGACACGCUGAUCCACGGACAGAAAUCACUAGCACAAACUGUAGCCCACGGUACAAGAGAACAAUCCACACAUUGCAAGCAGUAGCAAGAACCCACAAAUCCUUUUUUUUUUUUCAAAAGAGAAAAAAUUGCAGAACUUGCAGACAUAAUCUGAAAUAAUAGUACUAACACGCACAGGAACAAGGGCACGAUAUUGGACAACAAUUCAAGUGCAGCUCGGCACAAGAAUUAUAGUUAUACUCACUGCAACAAAUUGGAUAGCAAGCCAAAUUGUUUACUACCCACGGGAUAAAGGAAAAGGUACUUUGACAAUUGAUGCAAAGCAAUUGUAUGCUAACAAUUGCACAACAAUUGUACACUGUUAAAAACCACAAGCACAUCAAUACCAUUCACACACGGUUGCACACACAGCAACAACACACACGCACAGUGACUGAUCUCUGCGAAAAGAAUUGCAGAAAAAACAGUUGAUUGAGCACAGCGGAAAAACUAGGGUUACGGCAGCCUUGGCUCUGAUACCAAAUAGAAUUUUACGGGAUAAUUUCCGUGUAUUCCAUAAUUCUCAAUUAAAGGAUAUGUACAACCCUAGUUACAAGAAAGGCAACAAAUAAAGGACAUAAUACCUCUCCUAAAACAAGACUCUAGUAAUUACAAAAUAUUUACAUUCUCUUUUCUACUAAAUAUUAACUUAUUCCAAUAGGUUGUCCCACGUGUGAAGCCAAACGGUAACACGCGCUCUGCGUCACCCUAUUGUAUUAUCCACGUGUUAGGCUUGAAAAUUUAUCACACGUGAGGGGACGUGUUGAGAAUAAGUCUCAUUUUAAUAGGAGGAGGGAAUUCCAUGGGCUUAUAAGAGGUUAAACUACUCUUCAUUUUACCAAUUGAUUUUAUGAUGAAACCUCAACUUUCUCUUCUUGUAGCUGAAUAGAGAGAGAGAGGGAGUUAGAUAUAGCUGAGCUGAGCUAUUGAAGGCAUACUAGUUAUUAGAAUCCUUUUUACUAUUUAUCCUAGUAUUAAUUAAGGGAACUGUUAUUAACACUAAAAAAAUCUCAUUAUAUACUCUUCACAAGUAUAUUUUUCUUUCUAAUUAUUGAAAGUUUGGAGUGUUAAAUGAGGUUUUAGGAGUGCUAAUAACAAUUCCCUUAAUUAAAGUUUGUAUAAUUAAUCAAAUAUAUACAAGGUGUGAUUGUAACAUUAUCAUGGGAUUCUUACUUCCAGCUUCUCGGUAUAUAGUUUUUAUCACAGAUUUAAAUAUCGAUAUUAUCGGCGAAAUAUCGCCGAUAAUAUCGAUUUUUCGGGUAAUGGAUAUUUAAAUAGGUUUCUGUGUGGUUUUCGUCCAAAUAUCGCGAUAUUAUCGAUAAUAUCGAUAAUAUCGCGAUAUUUUGGAAAUAUCGAGAUAUUUCGUUGAACGGUGCAAUCGGACUCCGAUUUCGAACGCCGGAGAUGGUGUGGCUGUUCCCGAGCCCAUUUCGUCCCAAAAACCUUGCAAAAACACGAAUUUUAACUUCAAUUUCACAUAUAUGCUUCAAAUUUCACGCAUGCAUCAACGAUUCAACAUAUGAUGUCGGUUUAGGGCUUAGGGUUUCAAUGGAAUCUCACCUGAAAAAUCGAUGACUGGGCCAACUCCUUUCUCAGCGGCGCACCACCAGAGACGACUGAGCCAAGUCCGACUUCGCCAGAGCCACGAUCAACGGCAGCGAAGGAUCGAGAGAGUGGGCGAAGGAUCGAGAGAGUGGGAGAAGGGGGAGAUCUGUGUGUGUGUGGGUCGAAUGGAGAAGGGGGAGAAGAGAGGUCAGGCCUCAGAGAAGAAGACCCCGGAGGCCCGGGAAACAACCGUCAUCGCCAACACGCGCAUCGACUGGAAGGAGACCCCGGAGGCCCACAUCUUCAAGGCGGACCUCCCGGGGAUCAAAAAGGAGGAGGUGAAAGUGGAGGUGGAGGACGGGAGGGUCCUGCAUAUCAGCGGCGAGAGGAGCAGGGAGCAGGAGGAGAAGACGAAGAACUGGAGAAGGGAGAAGCUCAGAAGUUCUAGAGAGAAGGAAGGGAGAGAAGAGAAAGACAGAAGUUCUAGAGAGAGAAGGAUCCAGAGUGAGACUCUGUGGGCGUGCGUGGUUUUGGAUUUUGGGGGGGGGGGGUUUGUCUGUGUGACACACUGACUCACUGACUCUCUCUUCUGCGUGUGAUGUGUGGUGGUGUGAGAAAAAAAAAAGAAUCCAAUGCAAUGAUCCAAUCCAAAUAAUUCAAAAUCAAAUAAAAAAACAUAUAAAUAAUUCAAAAGCAUCUCCAAAUAAUUUUGACAAGACACUCACUCUACACAUAGAGAUGAUGAAGAUAGUGAAAAAAUUGAACCUCAUAGGAACUCUAUGUGGUACUAAAGUGUAAAAUAUUGUACUAAUUCAUUAUAUAAAUGAUUAUGGUGUGUUUAGACUUCUUUCAUUAAUUACUACAUAUUUUCUACACUCACAAUGUUUGUCAGCUCGCUAUAUAAUCAACUUGAUAAUGUUAAAUCCAUCAUGCAAUGCAUUUCCUUCCAAUUUUUUGUGAUAAACUAAUAGAUAAUUGACUAAAUAAACAUCCUGCAAAGUUUCAAUAAAAAUUUCCAAGUUUUUCUUACAAUUUCCGUGGUUUCCAUGUAAUUUUUAUCGAUAUCGAUAUUUUACCGAUAUUUCCAUCGAUAUUUCCGUGUUUUCAGACUACCGAUAUUUCCGAUAUUACCGAUAUUUAAUACCAUGGUUUUUAUAAAAGAACAUGGAUCCCCUCCGGAUCCAUUAUGUGGGGAUCUUAGGAAUCCCCACAUCUCAUCCGUACAUCGUGAAUCGUGCGGUCAGAAAUUAUUUUAUUUUUAUUAUUUUAAGUUAAUCACAAAUAGUACCUUACGAAAACUGGCCGCACGAUAUACGAUGAAUGAUUGGGAUGUAGGGAUCCUUAGAAUCCCCACAUAAUGGAUCCGGAGGGGAAGACAUUUUCUCACUUAAAACAUCGUCGUCAUGGAUAUUUUUCGUUGUAAAAAUUUAGGGCUUCUUUGGUACUCUACUUGAAUCCAAUUUUUUAAACUUAAAAACAAUUUUCAAGUUUUAGACCUUAAAAAAUUGUUUGGUAGGACUAUUUUAAAAAAUUGAACUCAAGACUAACUAAAAAAUAUAGUCUAUUCUCUAAAACCAUAAAAAGUGAGUUUUUAAAGUUUUUAAAUUUAAACUCACUCAUUUCUUUCAUUUCCGCUUGCUCUCUCUCACUCCAAAUCUAUCUCUCUCUUUUCUUCUUUCUCUUUCCUCUUUUAUUUUAUUUAUUUAUUUUUUUUUCCUUUUUGUGUCUCCUCCAAUUUGCUCUCUUCAUUCUCUCGGUUAUUUCUCUCACUCCUCUUCUUCUCUCCUUCAAUCAUCUCUUAUUUUCUUUCCUUCUCUCUUCUCUUUCUCCCUCUCCUAUGACCCCCCUCUUUUUAGAUCUCUUUGUCUAGUUUAAGUUGUAAAAUUUAAAAUUUUUAAAUCGCCAACCAAUUAAGUUUUUGAGUCUUAAAGAAAAUUGUUUUCAAGAAAUGUUCUUAAUAAAUGUUUUGAGAAAUGAUAAAAAAAUUCAAAUAGGAUACCAAACAUGCCCUUAAAUUCCUCACUGUUUCAUGGAUCAAAUUGGUUAUCAAACUCAGUUCACAAUCUUGCGAGAAAAUUGAAAUUUCCUUGAGUAAUUAUCUGCAUAUAUAUGACACGAAUUUAUAGAUUUUUUAAUUUGAGAAGAAAAUCACACCAAAUUGAGGUAUAGUUAGAUCACAUGAAAAAUAACACUCCUACUGAAAGAUAUGAGAAAAUUUGAGCAUCGGUCCCUAAACAGGUCAUAAGGUAUAGUAAUGGUUCUUUUGAGUAAACAUUGUUUUAUAAUACCUUCCAAAAUUAAGGGUUUAAAGAGGAAAAUAUAAAAGGAAUUAUUCUAACGUGAUUACCAAAAAUAAAUAAUGUUACAGAUUGUAACAAGUUAUGGACCACUAUUCAAAUUAACUCAAAACAUAUUAAGUAUGUAAAAUAACACUACUCAAGUCAUACUGCUAGUCAUAUACAGGAUGCGUAAUAACAAAUUAUGUAGAUUCGAGAUUAUUAGGGAGCGCAUGGUAAUUAACAUUUACCCUAUACAAAUGACAAGGUGAAAGAAAAACUGUAAAGAUUAUAGGAUUGUCUCUAAAUGCAGCUCAAGAGCCUUUAACGGAAGAACUUCCAAAAUAUUAACCUUAUUGUCAUCGGUCUCAACGAGGAACAUCGAUAGAAAUGGUCAAACCAUUGCCUGAGCAAUCUUGAGGACGCACUUGAUCAUGGUGGUCAACAUAUCCUCCUGUAAAGAAGGCUGGUUUCUCAGGUCUGGGAAGAAUAAUAGUUUCACUUUUUAACAUAAGAACAACUGAGGACAUGGUCGGCCUGUUGUUUGCAUCUUCUUGAACACACAAUAGUCCAAUGUGGAUGUACCUCAAAAAUUCAUUUGGACUGCAGGAAUCUUUUAACAAGGGAUCCAUCAACUCCAACCCUUUCGUUUCAUUCCAUAAUUGCCAAGCCUGCAAUCAAUAUCUCUCAGGGAUGUAUGUACUACUCCAGUUUUAAUAGCUACAUUAAUUAGCUCACGAAUAUUUUGAAUAAGUAUUUCAAGUAAAAAACUUACAUAACCUAUAAGAGUAGGUUUACAAUUUGUGCGAUGAAAGCCUAAAAAGUUCCUUCUCCCCGUUAUGAUCUCAAGCAGAAGUACUCCGAAGCUGAAGACAUCCGAUUUUACUGAAUACAACCCUUCCAUAGCAUAUUCUGGAACCAUGUAACCACUUUACAGGACAGAAAUGGUUGACAUAUAUUAGAGUUUAAAUAACAAAUAUAUACUUUUCCGUUGUCUAUUUAAAGAUAGAGUUAAGUACAUAAGUUGAAACAAAUAAUUGGAACUUAAGAUUACUAAUAUUAGAUAGAGGUAUUUGUAUAAGUUGAAACUUACUAAGUACCAACAAUUCUUUUGGUAUUUCCUUCAGUUUGAUCAUCAAUUCCAAACAUUCUAGCCAUCCCAAAAUCUGAUAUUUUCGGAUUCAUGUUGCUAUCUAAUAAAAUGUUGCUAGCUUUCAAAUCACGAUGUAUAACUCUAAGCCUCGAAUCUUCAUGAAGAUACAAAAUUCCUCGAGCAAUUCCUCCAAUUAUCAUGGUGCGGCUCAACCAAUCUAGUUGUUCUCGUUUUUUAUGUUCUGCAAAUUUAUCAAGUUCAAGUAGUACUUUUUGAAGUUAGGAACGACAAAGAAUUAUAUUUACUGACACAAACAUAUAUGUAUAUUCAUCAAAUGAUGUUCACAUACCAAAUAAAAAAUAAUCAAGGCUUUUGUUGGGCACAUAUUCAUAAACAAGUAUGGUUUCUUCUCCUUCCAAGCAAAAUCCUAAUAGCCUGACAAGAUUUCUGUGUUGAAGCUUGGCUACCAAUACAACCUCGUUCUUAAAUUCUUGUACACCUUGUCCGGAGCUUUUUGACAACCUCUUUACUGCUAUUUCUUGUCCACUAAUAAGCAUUCCCUGUGAUAAGGUAUAUAGGUACUUUAGUUUAUCCAACAAUUUUGUUGUGAUCUAAGCAAUUUAUAUAUACAAUACAAUGUUGGAUUAAUAGAAUGACUCAUGAACUAAUGCAUUAUAUAUUUGUUGGGUUAUUACCUUGAAAACUGCACCGAAUCCACCUUCGCCUAACUUGUUAUAUUCGGAGAACUUAUUUGGCAGGUCAGGUUUUUUCACAAGAGUAAAUUGUAGUUAUGGUCCCUGAACUUUACUCAAAUUGGAGCAAUGGUCAUUCAACUAAAAAUCCAUUAUCAUUGGUCCUUCAACUCAUUAAAACGUGCAGCUAUGGUCCCUCAACUAAAAAUCUAUUACCUUUGGUCCCUUAAUUUUAAUUCAACUGGAGAAAUGGUCCCUUAAUUUUAUCCCAAUUGUAACUAUGGUCCUUCAAACAUAACUCGUUUUGACAAAAUUUUUUACGUAGUUGACGAAAAUGACCAUAAUUACACACUUUGAUGAGUUGAUGGACCCUAAUUAAAUAAAUGGUUAUUCCAACAUAACAUAUUUUGACAAAAUUUUGAGAAAUUAAUGAAAAUGACUAUAGCUACACAUUUUAAUAAGUUGAGGGACCAAUGGUAAUGAAUUUUUAGUUGAGGGACUAUUGCUCCAAUUUGAGUAAAGUUCAUGGACCAUUGCUACAAUUUACUCUUUUCACAAUAAAGCCGGCCUCGGUGAUCAAUAGUGGAACAAUCACUAUAUAUAUUGUAUUUUAUUUCGUAAGGUAUGAUGUGAGAAUCUUACCUUCAAUGGAUGUUUUAUAUAUUACCUUGUAAACAGAACCAAAUCCUCCUUGUCCUAGUUUAUUGGCUUCAGAAAAGUCAUCUGCGGCAAUUCUAAUGGUGUCAAAAUUGAAUUGCAAGGAUUCUGCACUUCCAAUUUCGUCCAUGUCUUCGCCUGCGGUACAAUUUUAACAAAAUAUUGAUAUGUAACAUAAUUACAUCUAGAUGACGUAACAGUACUAGGCUUCCCACUUGAAGAAAAUUGAGUUAAAUUAAUGUUACUGUGUCUAUUUUGUUACAAUACGUACCUGGAAUUAAAUUACUUUGAAACAUUUUCUUUGCAUUCCGUACUCUUAGACAAAUGCCCAUGAACAUUGCUAGUACCAAAGAAGCAAUAAUUGGCACAACAAUAAUGAUGACAGUCCGAGAUUUGCCGUUCUUCAAUCCUGCAAAGUAAAAUCAUAAAUAUAUCUUCUCUAAUCACAUGAGAUUCUGAAUAACAUGUUUAAGUGAUUGAUCUAUCAGAGAGAGGAGUUACCAUUGAUCAAUUAAAUUUUGAGAUCAGUGUCAAGCAAAUAUAGUCAUCAACGUAUGUAAUGGAGUGUACAUACAUAUACGUUAUGCGUGCGUACCUUGUGAAGUGUUUGUGGUAUUGGUUGAUGGUGGUGGAGAAUGUAUUGGUGGCGGAGAUGGCAGUUGUUUGACAGUUGUAGGGUCAUAGAAGGGGUAAAGAUCGAAUCUAAAGUAACAGCUAGGUUUAUUAACUCCCCCACCUACUUUCCCGUAAAAAUUGGAGCUAUAUGCAAAAGCCCCAACUAAGCAAUCACUGCAAUUUUGCUCUGAUAUGUCUGGCGUGCAUUGCGCUAGUGCAAAUAUUGUUUGGAAAGUUGGGGCACUUGUGUUUCCGAAUGCAAAUUUCCGAAGAGAACCGCCAGCUGCAGCUUCCCUUCUUAUGCUGUCCAGUAGCUUCUCCAGCUCUUGGUUGAAUCCAUCCAGCUCGGACGACGAUAUGUUAUUUAUGUUCCAGUAAUACGGCGAAGGCCGCGAAGGCUCAGUUUCCAUGACGCCAUAGAUGGAGCGGUUUGAGUAGCGUAAAUUGCAUUUCUCAUACGAUCCAAAUGCUUCCUUCUGAUUAGGACAACGCUGAAGGAGAUCAUAUCGGGAAUUAUUUAGGCAGCUACGACAAUCUCCCACCGUGACAUCUCCUCUACAAAGCCCGAUUGCAUAAAUGUGCUCGUUCGACGAGUUUAGGCGAUAGGAUGCAUUAUAAAAGCCAUACCCGUUGCCGUUUUCGUCGGAGGGCAGGGAGGAGAGGAGGCGGUUGAGGUUUGUCUGAUAGGUACUAUUGGUGGUAUAGUUUCCUUUUCCGUCUAUGCAAUUUUGACCAAGGGCUUGAUUAAUCAUGAGAAACAGAAUGGGAAAGAGGCAGAAUAGAAAUCUUGAGGAAUCCAUUGCUGGCAUUAUUUGAUAUUUUUGCUAAAAUUGGUUUGUAAAAGAGGAUUAUAGUUCUGAUGGAAAACUUGCUACACGUCUAUAUAUGAAGAACGAAGUCAAUGAAUACCUCACUUUACACAAGACGCGGUGGUGGGAAGACCAGACUUUUUUUUCUUUUUUUUUUAACACAGACCAGACUUUUAAUAGUAGCUCUAGCUACGAUACAGUAUUGGUACUUGCUACCAUUCCUCUACACGUGCAUGUUUAAGCGCAACUUUUUCACGCAUCAAGCCUAUGCAACUAUUAUGAAGAAAGGAUGUCGUUGUGGGGGUCUCAAGCCAAUAACACUCUUAUAUUGAUAAGUUGAAAUUUAAAAUGCAUAAUAACUUUAAAUCAAAUAAUACGUGAUUAAUUUAAAAUACCGCUAUAAUGAUAUCAUUGUAUAAGCAAGUGUCUAUUUUAUAUUACAUCUUUGUAGGUAUUCUUUCAUCAGCGAGGUUUCACUCUAUUAUAAUUGAAGAUGCUGACAUAGACGGGAGUGCUAAAUUAAAUAUUUAAGGAAGCUUCUUCCGAGACUUACACUAUUCAACCAUUGAAAUAAAGUAAACCACAGAUUGCAGGAGUGGUUGGCUCUGGCUGGGCCAACUUCUCUUUGCUUCUCGGUGCACGCAAUCUCUCGGUCAACAAGGUAAAUCAAUUAUAAUACGCAAUUCUGACAAUCAUUUACUCGUUUCGGUGGUUAUACCUUUCUACUUUAUGGUCAGAAUUAAAU